CGUCAACGUCGCUGUUGCUGCCGUCCAGGAUGAGCUGCUCAGCCUGCUACUCCACGAGACUCCUUAGCAACAGCUGAAGAGAGGUUUCAUGGGAACAAGCACCCAUCGUUGUUGUCGCCGUUAGCACCGUCCCUUAACUGCGACCCUUUGGACCCUUUGCUGAUCCAGCUCCCAGAAGGGGAAGGGAAGUGGUUUCUCUCUGUCGAGGAGGACAAACAGAGAUAGAGGAGGCAGAUGUGAUAUGCUUGGCAUUAUGCUGUGAGGAUAGAGGGCCAUGGAUCUGGAUGUGGAGAUUGUGAAAGUCCAUGUGACGUUCGUGUCAAGAUGAGCGGCCGUUCCUGCUGACAUUGUGUCAACUAGAUGGUUGUAUUCUUAAAACUUAUCAAUCAAUUGGAGUCGGUUUCUAUAAUUGUUUUCCCUUUAGAAGUUUUUAACCUGCUUAAUGCUUAUUGUUCAGAAAUUUAGGUGCUCUUUUGUCAGAGACCGCUUGAUGGUUUGGUUGGGACUCUAUGAUUUAGCCUAUUAUUGGUGGCAACUAAUUAGGCAUCGAUACUGUGAAUCAGUAAACACUUGCAACAGGACUAUUUUUUUAACUUCCGGACAUUUUUAUUUAUGUGAAAAAUACUUUGUUUGGCGAUACACUAAUUCAGAAUAUUCAUGCUUCAAUUCCUCAUGAACUUUAUUCCUCUAUCCUUUUUUAUGUGUACUAACGUGUCUUUUUCUCUAUCCUUUUUCCUGUAUACUAAUGUGUCUUUAUUUAGUGCAAUGCCGAGGUUUCCUCCAUGCUUCCAUACAAUGUCGGAGUACAUCAGAUGUUGCAGUCUGUUCAUCCUGGAUAGUGCUGAGGAUGAAUACAAACUUAUAUGUAAUUGGUUGGUGCUUGCUUUACAUAAGACGGCCACUGUUCCACUUCUGUUUUUUUUUUACUUGGUCCUGUACAUGUCUACCGUGUUGUAGUUAAAGUUUCUGAUGUACACUUGUUCCAGCCACAAACAUGGAAGCAAGUUGUUCCUAUAAACCCAUGAUACCCACAAACAUUUUUAGAUCGAUAUUUACAAAAGUGUCAUGUCGAUCAUUACUCACAAACCCAGCCACAGCCAUAUGCUAAACAUGAAUUUCUACUAACUUAGCAUUACCUACUUGACCAAACGUUUGGACCGGCACCCUCGCGU
Long non-coding RNA from Triticum dicoccoides, 1172 nucleotides. RefSeq lists it as uncharacterized. The record is from RefSeq and is a predicted model, not a curated record. The transcript is spliced from 3 exons. NCBI's taxonomy places the organism in Eukaryota, Viridiplantae, Streptophyta, Magnoliopsida, Poales, Poaceae.